This 486-nucleotide ribosomal RNA is filed under the name activated sludge bacterium KC18. RNAcentral describes it as "bacterial SSU rRNA". It matches the Rfam family "Bacterial small subunit ribosomal RNA", at positions 56 to 524 of the family's 1533-position model. The record is from RNAcentral.
UGCAGUCGAGCGGACAGAUGGGAGCUUGCUCCCUGAUGUUAGCGGCGGACGGGUGAGUAACACGUGGGUAACCUGCCUGUAAGACUGGGAUAACUCCGGGAAACCGGGGCUAAUACCGGAUGGUUGUUUGAACCGCAUGGUUCAAACAUAAAAGGUGGCUUCGGCUACCACUUACAGAUGGACCCGCGGCGCAUUAGCUAGUUGGUGAGGUAACGGCUCACCAAGGCGACGAUGCGUAGCCGACCUGAGAGGGUGAUCGGCCACACUGGGACUGAGACACGGCCCAGACUCCUACGGGAGGCAGCAGUAGGGAAUCUUCCGCAAUGGACGAAAGUCUGACGGAGCAACGCCGCGUGAGUGAUGAAGGUUUUCGGAUCGUAAAGCUCUGUUGUUAGGGAAGAACAAGUACCGUUCGAAUAGGGCGGUACCUUGACGGUACCUAACCAGAAAGCCACGGCUAACUACGUGCCAGCAGCCCGCGGUAAA